GAAAACGUAAAUAAGAAAAAAAGAAGGGGAAAAAGAAAUAAUAGUAACAAAGGCCACCCCAAUGGCUUAUUAGCUUCCCCGUUUAUAUUGGGCCAUGACUAUGGAAACAUAAAAUCUGUCUCCCCCCACCCCUUUCCUUCUUCUCUGUAUCUGUCUAUCUCUCUUCUUCUCCCUCGUUUCUUCGCCGGAAACUUGCGUCAAUAAUCGGUCAUGCAUGCCGUCUGAUUGCUGCUAACGGAA
This 240-nucleotide unclassified non-coding RNA is filed under the name Hevea brasiliensis (rubber tree). The record is from RNAcentral. Lineage: Eukaryota; Viridiplantae; Streptophyta; Magnoliopsida; Malpighiales; Euphorbiaceae.